GGAAAAUCAAAAUCAAUAAAAAGAUUAACUUCCAAGAGUUCCACAUGUAAAUUACGAUCAAAAUCCAUUCUGGAACUAAUGUGCAACAACAUAACAGGGCAAAACAAUCUUCAAUCUAAACCAAAAAUUGUUUAAAAAAGAAACUCCAAGCAUAUUCGAGGAGCAGCAACAGUGAGCAACAGAUACGAAGCGAAGAAUCACAGCCUUCUUCCACGUCUGCCUCCCUUUCUACGGGUACUGUCAGUGGGAAUGGGGGUAACAUCCUCUAAGGUGAAGAGGGUACAUGUAAGCUUACAAGAGUUGAAAUUAUGGGACCCAAUGAAUUGUGGAGAAAUGAAAGGGUGAAAAAAUCUUACCUAUGCGUCCAAUUUUCAUGCCAGAACGAGCAAGGGCUCUAAGUGCUGACUGUGCACCAGGACCUGGUGUCUUGGUCUUAUUCCCCCCAGUAGCUCUAAGCUUUAUAUGAAGGGCAGUAAUACCCAACUCCUGCAAGACAACAAACAGUAACUGCCAUAAGUUCACCACACAUAAACCAUGUAUUGCAACACAAGUCAGAGAAGGAUAUAAGACCUUGCAGCGAUGAGAAACAUCUUGGGCUGCAAGCAUGGCUGCAUAAGGGGAAGACUCAUCCCUAUCAGCUUUCACCUUCAUGCCACCUACAUUUGAAAAAUGAAAGGAACAAGCUAGUGAAAUAUUACUCAGAAAAAUAACCUGACUGUCAGACAUGAAUAUCAUCAAAACAUGUAAUAUUGACACCAAAAACCCAAGAAAGCAAAAGCACAGAGGUGGUAAUAAUAAAAUCAAAAGCCAAGAUAGCAAAAGAAACCAGUUUUCUAAAGAAAACCAUAACCCAUACCAGUAAUGCGAACCAUUGUUUCCCUUCCAGACAAAUCAGUCACAUGCUGGAAAUUCAAAAUAGCAUGUUAAAAGGGAUAAACUACCAAACAAAAUCAAUGUAAACGGAGUAUGUUAUUGCUUACAAUGAAUGUGUCAUUAAAUGAAGCAAAGAUGUGAGCCACCCCAAAAACAUGCUCGCCCUCUGGAACAGCAGGUCCUAGGUUAGUAUUCUCCUCCUUGGGCUCUCUAACCUUCCUUCUCGACUACAAAGCACCACAAAUCAAAGAAUAAAUCAGUUCAUCUUAUUUGCACGCUGUAAAUCUAUGAAUCUGCUAUAGCAACAAUGCCUAAAAGGGAAGCACCAAUGCUCCAUUUGAAUCCCAAAAACACCGUCGAAAGAGAAUGCAAGGUUGAAUGUAAUCUAAUUAGUAAAUGGAACAUAUGAAAAGCUAGUGUACAGUAAAAAAAUGCCAUUCUAAAAUAUAAACCCCAUAACGUCAAGAAAGUUUAUUAUUAAAUUGAAUUUAGUCUGUAAAACUCACUCUUUUCUAUAGUCAAAUCGCAAACUGUUUUUUUUCUUCUCAGAAGCCAAACAAGAUUUAGCUUAUCAACGAGAAUAUAGAUAAAUGCAAAGAGAUACUCACCAUGGCUUAGGCAAAACGAAGUAGUUAGACACUAGGGUUUUGUGAAAGCUUUCGUUGAUGCUUUGGCCUCCGACGACUCUAGCCUUCGAAGAGAGGCUACUAAAUCAGCUGCCACCAUUUUAUAGCUAGGUUUUCGACCCUGGCCUUAAAUGACGAAAAGGUCCUUGUCUUUAUUCAAUAUUUGCAAAUGGGUUAAUGCCUCCUUUUAUAUUUUUAAGUAAACUAGCUUACUUGUUUACCCAACUUUAGGGUAAUUUCAUUUUAGCCACUUAAAAUAAAAAUUUUACAAUUUUAUCACUUAACUUUUAGGGUACUUUUAUUUUAGUAAUUCAACUGUAAAAUCUAUAAUAAGUGGCAAAUUUGGGGGAGGUUGGCAUUGGCCUUGGCCCAGCCUAAAAUUAUAAAAAUAAAUAUUUAUUAUUUAGCCCCUUAAUAUUUGAAAAUUUUGGCCCUCCCUUAUAUUGUUUGGCCCCCCUUUCCAACUUUGAACAUUAAAAAAAGAAAUUUCUUUUUUUAAUUUUUUUCAUAUAAUAUUUUUAAAAUUUUUAACUUUAAAUAUUUAUAUAAUAUAUUACAACUUUCUUUUUUUAGAUGAUAGUUGUUCACUUUUUUAAUAAAAUAUUAAAUGUGAAUUUAGGUUAAAAUUCAAUUUGUUAACUAGUGAAAAAGAAGUCUCUUUUCCUAUUGCUAUUAACAACUAUUGUCAUCAAUGUUUGUCCUUCAAACGUAACAUCGAGUUCAUCUUCUAAGUUUUUUUUUUAUCUUUUUACAAUUUUACUAUUGUUUUUAUUAUGUUUUAAAGUUUAUAGUUUAAUUUUAUUUUAUAGUUAUUAAUUUUUUAUCUUUCAAGAUAUUAUAGUUAUGAAGUCGAAAACAAUUGAUUCAUUUUUUAAAAAGAAAAGUACAAAGACACACAAUCACCUUCAGAAGCGUCACAAAUUGAGGUACCACCUUCAUCGUUUUGCUCCUUUAAGCUCUGAUGCUUAUCCUUUUAAAAUUCCUAGAGUCGAAGAUAAGGCACUUGAUUUGUCUAACUUAGAAUGUGAACAUGGGUUACAUAAGCAAAUAUAUGAGUAUCUAGUUAAUAUGCGUGAUGUAACACCUCUAACCCAUAUCCAUCACCGGUGUAGGGUUAAAGGCAUUACCGGACAAAUCAACACAUUUAGCAUUCAUUUCUCAAUCAUCAUAACAUCAUAGGUCAUACAUCAUUACAAAGUCCCUUAUAUUAGGUCAACGAGACCUCAAAGUCCCUUAUAUUAGGUCAACGAGACCUCAAACAUGCUUUAGAAAAGGGUUGGGACUAAACCGAGCUUAUACAAAAUUUUUCGAAACUUAAACAUUUUUUAAAGUAUAAAGGUCACACGCUCGUGUGAACAGGCCGUGUGUAUCACAUAGCAUGAGACACACUCAUGUGUCUAAGUCGUGGUAAAACAGGGCAUACAUACUGACUUGUCGACACAACCAUAAGACAAGCCCGUGUGCCUUGGCCAUGGUCGAAAUUGACUUGGGUCACACGGCUGACCACAUGCUCGUGUGUCUAGCUUGUGUACCCUUCGAAAUGGCCACACACGCCCAUGUAUUAAGGCUGUGUGCCUCACACAGACACCAGACACGCCCGUGUAUCUAGGCCGUGCUCAAGACUGACUUGAAUAGCUAAAUUGCAACAGACACAUGGUCGAGACACACACCCGUGUGCUCAACCGUGUGGGGUGAAAUUAGGCUUAGUUUAAGCCACAUUUCCCACCUAUCUCAAGCAUUCCAAAACCAUAACAUUUUAGCAUUAUUUGCAUACAUUCAUAAGCAACCAAAUCAACCAAUUCAUAAAUAUAUUUCAUGCCAUUCAAUUACCAUCCAAUUCACUACUCAAUUUCACAACCAACAUACCAACUCAAUGUACCAAAAUGAUCACAACUUGUAUAAGUUUCAAAUACAUAAAUUCAUCAUUUUAUUACAUACUUCAUACCACAAAACUUACCAAUUCAACAUUCAAUAUUCAAACCAUCAAAUAAACAUUAUAUUUAUCAUAUAACUUACCUAUCAAACACAUCACUUAGGCCAACUUAAAAAGCCAUACAUACCAACAUUUACAAGCCAAAUCUCAUGGCUAGAUAUUCACAUCACAAAACAUACAAAAAUACUUCUAGCCUAUACAUGCCAUAUACCAUAUAUACAACUCUCAAAAUGGUACCAAAACAGAUGAUUAAUAGUGUGAAUGAGUCACUAACGAUCCCCGAAACCGAGCUAGCUUUAAAAUACUGUAAAACAUAGAACAAUUCACACAGUAAGCUUUACAGCUUAGUAAGUUUGUACCAUAAAUAAUCAAUAGUUUAUAUUAUACGAAACAUCAACUAAUAAACACUUAGUAUUUCACAAUUCAUCCAUCAAUUCAAUUCUAUCUCAUUUAAUAUGUUCAUACAAAUUCACAAGCUUCAUACACAUAGUAUCAUCUACCACAUAGGUAUUGAACAUGUAACACCCCUUACCCGUAUUCCUUACCGGAACAGAGUAUGAGGUAUUACUAAAUUUUUAAAAAUUUUCGACAGCAUUCCUACUUAUUUUUGCUUAAACCUCCUGCAAAUUUAGAACACAUUCCAAUAUACCAACCAAUUUCAUUUGUAUAAACACACAUAUAGUUUAACUAUUAAUAAACACUACAUUUAAAAGGGAACCAUAACAUAUAUUUACAUGAUGAUCCCACAUUACAUAAAGUGUCUAUACAUGCCAUAAAAUUUCGGAACACUAGUAGUAAAAUACCCCAAAUGUGAAGGAUAGUGUAGAUGAUUGUCUGACUUCGUUCCAAUUUCCGAGUUGUUGGAAGUCACUAUAACCAAGAGAAAAAUAAAAUCGAGUAAGCAUAUAGCUUAGUAAGUAAACACAUGAUAAAUAAGUAAUUACUCUCAUAACUACACCAAAAUAUAAACUUAUUCAUGAAUAACUUUAUUGUUUAGGCAAUUUCCAGCAAGCUGUUUUUCUGCGUCAUAGUUGCUAAUUUAUUUUUAUCUGGAGCUACAGGGCUCCAAAUUGAGUUCCGUAAAUUUUCCCUGAAACUAGACUCAUAUACCAUUUCACCAUAAAAAUUUCAGAAUUUUUAACCCAACCAAUUAGUACAGUUUAUUCAUUAAACCUUCCCCUGUUUCACUGCCCAACGGUUCUGACCCUUCCUCACUAAAAUUUACUUAACUCUCUGUAAAAAUUUGAAAAAUGGGUUUUCUUGUUUCUAAUAAAAAUAGACUCAAUAAGGAUUCCAGGGAUAUAAAUUUCAUGCCAUAAUUAUUUUUUUACAUUUUUUGGUAAUUUUCCAAAGUUAGAACAGGGGAUCUCGAAAUCAAUCCAGCCCUGUUUUAGUAAAAUUCAGAUAUCUCCAAAAAUACAACUCUUUUGCUUAUUCUAUUUCUUUCAUAUGAAAACAGACACAUCCAGCUUCAAUUUCAUAUAUUAUUCAGCUUCCCAUUCAUUUUCCACCAUUUAUGGUGAUUUUUCAAAGUUACCCAACUGCUGUUGUUCAACACAGUUUAUAAUUAAAUCGUUCCUUUUUCAUUUUUGAUAUUUUCUCCCAUCUCAUACAUGGAUCGAUUUAGUGUCCAACUCAAUAUUUACCCCAUAAAAUUUUCCACCAUAUGGCAAUAUUCACCUUCCACACUUUUUCGUUGAACACUCGGAAUGUUAACCGUUAUUGGUGGAUCUCGCACUUAGCACCACCACUGAAUCGGGGAAUCAGCACUUAGCAACCCCUCGGGGGAAUCAGCACAUAGCAACCCCCUUUUCAUUUCAAAGAUACAGUGGAUAUCGCACUUAGCACCACCAAUGAACCGGGGAAUCAGCACUUAGCAACCCCUUGGGGGAAUCAGCACAUAGCAACCCCCUUUUCACAUUUCAAAGAUAUGGUGGAUCACGCACAUAGCACCACCAAUGAAUCGGGGAAUCAGCACACAGCAACCCCUUUAUAUACAACAUACUCCGGCUUAUUCCGAGUGUUCAACCCAUAAACCAUAUAUUGCAACCCUUUACCACAUUUCCCGAUUUAACAACAUUUUUAGGAUAUGGCCAAACAUUUAUUUUAAUUCCAAAUAAAUCUCAACAUAUAUCAAAUAAUGUCAAAAUAAUACAUUAAGUCACGUGUUUACUUACCUCGGUGCAAAAUAUCGUAAUUUUGCACUUUACUCCACUAUCUUUUCUUUUCCUCGUUUGAUAUACUCUUCACGUCUUUCUUGAUCUAUAAUAGCAAAUUUAACUCGUUUAAAGUCCACAUUUAUUAAAAUAAUCCACCACCCAACUUUUUGAAAAUUACAAUUUUGCCCCCAAACUUUUGCAUAAUUACACUUUUGUCCCCAAGCUCGGAAAUUAAACUUCAUCACUUAUUCUUAAUUUUUAUAACAUGCUGAACAUUUUUCCCUUCUAUGGAAACAUCAAAUUCCCACUCCAACACAUACUUUUGAAUAUUAAUUAUUUUUACCGAUUAUGUCUAUUUACCCGUUUUCGCUUAAAAUUGCUUAGCAAAAGUUGUUUAACAUAAUCUCUAGCUUCAUAUUCCACCAUAAAACAGCAAAAUAAACACAUUUCACCUAUGGAUAUUUUUCCAAAUAUGAACCCUAACAUGAAUUAAUGGUAGAAUAAGCUAAACCAAGUUACCGGGACUCCAAAAAUACGAAGAACAUUAAAAACGGGGCUUAGAAUCACUUACUAUGGAGCUUGAAAGCUUAAAAACCCUAAAUAUGGCUUCCCCCUUGCUGAUUUCGUUCACCAUGAAGAAGAUGAGCAUAUUUUGCCAUCUUUUUCCCAUUUAAUUCUAUUUAAUAACCAAAUGACUAAAAUGCCCCCAUUUAAAAAAAUCUAUUUCACCCAUUUCUUAUGUCUAUUUUUGUCCAUCAACUAACUAAUGGUCUAAUUACCACAUAAAGACCUCCAAUUUAAAAUUUCAUAACAAUUAGACACCUCUAAGAUGUAGAAUUCAACUUUUGCACUAUUUACAAUUUAGUCUUUUUGACUAAAUUGAGUGCCCAAACGUCGAAAUUUUCGAACGAAAUUUUUACGAAAAUUUUCCGUGAAAUUGUAGAUCAUAAAAAUAUAAUAAUAACCAUAUUUUCCCUCGUCGGAUUUGUGGUCCCGAAACCACUAUUCCGACUAGGCCCAAAAUCGGGCUGUUACAACUCUCCCCCCCUUAGGGAUUUUCGUCGCCGAAAAUCUUACCGGAAAAGAGGUUUGGGUACUGUUUCCUCAUAAUUUCCUCCGGUUCCCACGUAGCCUCUUCCAUUCCAUGUUUUUGCCACAACACUUUCACUAAGGCUACACUUUUAUUUCUUAACUGUUUGACCUCCCGAGCCAAAAUCUUUAUGGGUUCUUCUUCAUAAGUCAUAUCUGGUCGAACCUCAAUCUCUGUAGGAGAAACUAUAUGUGAAGGAUCCGAACGAUAACGUCGCAACAUCGACACAUGAAAUACAUUAUGUAUCUUUUCCAACUCUGGCGGUAAAGCUAACUGAUAUGCUACAGGGCCAACUCUCUCGGUAACUUCAUAUGGUCCAAUAAAACGUGGACUUAGUUUGCCUUUACGACCAAAUCUCAGAAUCUUCUUCCAUGGGGAUACUUUCAAGAACACUUUAUCACCCACUUGAAACUUAAUUUCUUUUCUCUUUAAAUCCGCAUACGACUUUUGCCGAUCUGAGGCAGUUUUUAGGCAAUCACGGAUUAUUUUCACCUUUUCUUCAGUUUCUUUCACCAGGUCGACUCCAUGAAUCCGAUUCUCACCGAGUUCAGUCCAAUAUAAAGGGGUUCUACAUUUACGCCCAUAUAAUGCUUCAUACGGUGCCAUUUGUAUACUUGACUGAUAACUAUUAUUAUAAGCAAAUUCAACCAGUGGUAGAUAUUUCUCCCAACUGUCCUUCAUUUCUAAAAUACAACACCGGAGCAUGUCUUCAAGAACUUGAAUCACCCUUUCUGAUUGUCCGUCAGUUUGCGGAUGAAAUGCAGUACUGAAAUUCAAUUUCGUACCCAAAGCUUCCUGUAACUUUAUCCAAAACCUCGAAGUAAAUCUCGGAUCUCUAUCCGAUAUAAUAGAUUUAGGCACCCCAUGUAGUCUCACUAUUUCAGCAACAUAUAAUUCAGCCAACCUGUCAAGUGAAUAAUCAAUGCGUAUCGGAAUAAAAUGGGCUGACUUUGUCAAUCUAUCCACAAUUACCCAAAUAGCAUCUUUCUUCUUUGGAGUUAAAGACAAUCCUGUCACGAAAUCCAUCGUGAUACUGUCCCACUUCCAUUCUGGAAUCGUUAUCGGUUGAAGUAAACCCGAUGGCACUUGAUGCUCAGCCUUCACUUGUUGACAGAUUAAACAUUUUGUUACAAAUUCCGAGAUAUCCUUUUUCAUGCCCGGCCACCAAUACAACUUCCUCAAAUCAUUGUACAUUUUCACACUACCCGGAUGGACUGAUAAAUCACCACUGUGUGCCUCACCCAAAAUAGUCCGAAUUAGCUCAUCAUUUCUCGGUACACAUAUUCUGUCCCUGAACAUCAGGCAAUCAUCUGAACCAAUUUGAAAAUCUGAGUCAACACCUGCUUCACACUGAGCUCUCUUGGCUUGCAAUUUACUGUCAUUCUUUUGAGAUUCCCGAAUUUGCUGAAGAAAUAACGGUCUAGCUCUCAAUUCAACCAACAUUGAGCCAUCAUCAGAUAAAGUUAACAUCGUACCCAUAGCUCUCAAAGCAAAUAAAGAUUUUCUGCUCAAGGCAUCAGCAACCACAUUAGCUUUCCCGGGGUGAUAAUCAAUCACUAGCUCAUAGUCUUUGAUUAGCUCGAGCCAUCUUCGUUGCCGCAAAUUCAAGUCUUUUUGACUCAUCAAAUAUUUCAAACUCUUAUGAUCAGUGAAGAUUCGGCACUUUUCACCAUACAAAUAAUGACGCCAAAUUUUUAAAGCAAAAACAAUGGCAGCCAAUUCUAAAUCAUGCGUCGGAUAAUUCUUCUCAUGCGGUUUCAACUGUCUCGAAGCAUAAGCUAUUACUUUGCCCUCUUGCAUUAACACACACCCAAGGCCAUUCAACGAUGCAUCACUGUAAAUUACAAACUCCUUCCCGGACUCAGGUUGCACCAACACUGGCGCCUCAGUCAAUAAUGCCUUCAACUUUUCAAAACUCUGUUGACAUUUAUCGGUCCAUUCAAACUUGACAUUCUUCUGCAGUAACUUAGUCAUAGGAGAAGCAAUCAUCGAGAAUCCCUUGACAAACCGUCUGUAAUACCCAGCUAAGCCCAGGAAGCUUCUAACUUCAGUCACAUUCUUGGUGGCUCCCAAUCAACAAUUGCUGAAAUUUUGCUUGGAUCAACCCGAAUACCUUCACUUGAAACUAUAUGUCCUAAGAAUCCAACCUCACGAAGCCAAAACUCACUUUUGCUGAAUUUAGCAUACAAUUUCUUUUCUCUCAGAAUCUGCAACACAGUUCUCAAAUGUUCUGCAUGUUCCGAUUCAUCCCGAGAAUAGAUUAAAAUAUCAUCUAUGAACACCACCACGAACUUGUCUAAGUACAGCCGAAAAAUUCGGUUCAUCAAGUCCAUAAAAAUAGCUGGAGCAUUAGUCAACCCAAAAGGCAUUACCAGAAAUUCAUAGUGUCCAUACCUCGUUCUGAAGGCGGUUUUCGGCACAUCAGACUCUUUAACUCUCAACUGAUAGUAACCAGACCUCAAAUCGAUCUUGGAGAACACUGUUGCCCCUUUUAAUUGAUCAAACAAAUCAUCAAUUCUCGGCAAAGGAUACUUGUUCUUUAUGGUCACCUUAUUGAGCUGACGAUAGUCAAUACAAAGUCUCAUAGAGCCGUCCUUCUUUUUCACAAUAACACAGGAGCACCCCAAGGAGAAAAACUCGGUCUCACAAAUCCUUUAUCUGUCAACUCUUGUAACUGAGCUUUUAAUUCCUUCAACUCAGUCGGAGCCAUUCGAUACGGUGCAAUAGAAAUCGGUGCAGUACCAGGUAACAGAUCAAUAGAAAACUCAACUUCUCUAAUCGGAGGUAACCCAGACAAUUCCUCUGGAAAUACAUCUGGAAAUUCACAGACUACCGGCACUGAUUCAAGCUUCGACCCAGUUAUAUCAGUAUUCAACACAUAAGCAAGAUAAACUUCACAUCCCUUUCUCAAGUAUUUCUGAGCAGACAUGUGUGAAAUCACCAUAGGCAACUUAUUCGGCUCCUCUGUUUCAAUCCGGAGAAUUUCACCAUUUUCACACUUUAAUUCAAGAAUUUUCUGUCUACAAUUCACCUUGGCAUCAUGCAAUAUCAACCAAUCCAUCCCCAAAAUAACAUCGAACUCAUCAAAUGGUAACAACAUCAAAUUAGCCAGGAAACAGUGACCUUGAAUCAUCAGGGGGCAAUUCUUGCAAAUCUUAUCAACUAAGACAUACUUGCCUAAUGGAUUUGAUACUUUAACUACAUAUUCAGUGUUUUCAACAGGCAAUUUCUUACUAGAUACCAAUUUCAUGCAUACAUAUGAAUGAGUAGAGCCGGGAUCAAUCAAAGCAAUAACAUCUAUAUCAUGAAGAGAAAAUGUACCAGUAAUCACAUUGGGAGAUGAGGCAUCCUCUCGAGCACGUAUGGCAUAAGUCCUGGCAGGCGCUCUAAUUUCUGAUCCUCCAGCUGUAUCUUUCAUCACACUUUUACCACUGACUUUGCUUCCCACAUUUCUCGGCGGUCUCCCUCUACUAACAAUAUCACCCGAUCCAGCUCUUGGCAAAUUUUCUUCCUCUCUUCUCUCAGGGCAAUCUCUUACAUAUGCUCUUGGGAACCACACCUGAAACAAGCUCGUUUAAAUCCCCAACACUCACCAAUAUGUCGCCUGCCACACUGUUGACAUUCAGGCCGGGUGUUUCCUACAUUGCCCACACUUGCUACAGAGGUAGCUCGAGUUGUAGCUCCAGAAUACGACCUCCCUCGGUCUCUGCGUGAAUACCCAACUGAACCAGUUGGUCGUGGAUCCAUCCCUUUAAACUUCUUCGAAUGAGAUUGAAAUGUUCUAACCCAUUGUCCUCUUCCUUACAUCUCGAGAUUCCAUCUCUGCCCUUCUCUUUUCUCUACUCAGUUCUUCAGCUUUACAGGCCCGAUCAACUAACACCACAAAUUCUUUUAACUCUAAAAUCCCAACAUGCAAUCUGAUGUCUUCAUUUAGCCCCUCUUCAAAUCUUUUACACAUAAUAGCCUCCGUAGGCACACAUUCCUGGGCAUAUUUACUAAGCCGAACAAACUCCCGUUCAUAUUCUGCUACGGACAUUCGGACCUGUUUCAACCCGAGAAACUCUUUGCGUUUUUGAUCAAUAAAUCGUUGGCUUACAUAUUUCUUUCUAAAUUCUUCCUGAAAGAAGUCCCACGUAACUCUUUCUUUUGGAACCACCGAAUCAAUGUUUUCCACCAACGAUAUGCCGAAUCCUUCAAUAAAGGACACAGCACAUUUCAAACAAUUCUUUCAAGGUGCAAGAUAAUUCAUCAAAUACCCGAAUCGUAUUUUCAAGCAAAACUCGGCUUUUUUCCGGAUCCUCAUCAACAUUGGCCCUAAAAUCUUAGCGCCCAUGCUUUCGAAUUCUAUCAACAGGUGGCUUACUUGAUCUCACCAAUUCGGUACUCCGUGGAGCUACGGGGACCGGUUUGAGGAAUAGGAGGGGGUGGAGGCGGAGGAAACAUUCGGAUUUACACGACAUAUUUAUAUACCAAUCACUCAUCAUUCGGAGGAAGGCUUCCCGAGCCUCAUCCUGUCAUGUGUCUCAUGUCUACUCUCUUCCUGCGCGGUCCCUUGCGCGAGAGCCGGCGCGUUACUUUCAACAUCAUCUGCCACACUUCGAUCAGGAUCCAUUUACUAUAUAAAACAAAAUUUUAAAUUGUCAGAAAUCAUCACACUAUCACAAUAAUUUUAUGGCAUGUAUAGACUGACUUCCACACGUAUUUAUUGGUCCGAGAACCGACUAAACCGUAGCUCUGAUACCACUAAAAUGACACCCCUUACCCGUAUUCCUUACCGGAACAGAGUAUGAGGUAUUACUAAAUUUUUAAAAUUUUCGACAGCAUUCCUACUUAUUUUUAAACCUCCUGCAAAUUUAGAACACAUUCCAAUAUACCAACCAAUUUCAUUUGUAUAAACACACAUAUAGUUUUAACUAUUAAUAAACACUACAUUUAAAAGGGAACCAUAACAUUUUACAUGAUGAUCCCACAUUACAUAAAGUGUCUAUACAUGCCAUAAAAUUUCGGAACACUAGUAGUAAAAUACCCCAAAUGUGAAGGAUAGUGAUGAUUGUCUGACUUCGUUCCAAUUUGAGUGUUGGAAGUCACUCACUAAAAGAGAAAAAUAAAAUCGAGUAAGCAUAUAGCUUAGUAAGUAAACACAUGAUAAAUAAGUAAUUACUCCCAUAACACACCAAAAUAUAAACUUAUUCAUGAAUAACUUUAUUGUUUAGGCAAUUUCCAGCAAGCUGUUUUUCUGCGUCAUAGUCGCUAAUUUAUUUUAUCUGGAGCUACAGGGCUCCAAAUUGAGUUCCGUAAAUUUUCCCUGAAACUAGACUCAUAUACCAUUUCACCAUAAAAAUUUCAGAAUUUUUAACCCAGCCAAUUAGUACAGUUUAUUCAUUAAACCUUCCCCUGUUUCACUGCCCAACGGUUCUGACCCUUCCUCACUAAAAUUUACUUAACUCUCUGUACAAAAUUUGAAAAAUGGGUUUUUCUUGUUUCUAAUAAAAAUAGACUCAAUAAGGAUUCCAGGGAUAUAAAUUUCAUGCCAUAAUUAUUUUUUUACAAUUUUUGGUAAUUUUCCAAAGUUAGAACAGGGGAUCUCGAAAUCAAUCCAGCCCUUGUUAGUAAAAUUCAGAUAUCUCCAAAAAUACAACUCUUUUGCUUAUUCUAUUUCUUUCAUAUGAAAACAGACACAUUCAGCUUCAAUUUCAUAUUAUUCAGCUUCCCAUUCAUUUUCCACCAUUUAUGGUGAUUUUUCAAAGUUACCCAACUGCUGUUGUUCAACACAGUUUAUAAUUAAAUCGUUCCUUUUUCGUUUUUGAUAUUUCUCCCAUCUCAUACAUGGAUCGAUUUAGUGUCAACUCAAUAUUACAUAAAAUUUUCCACCAUAUGGCAAUAUUCACCUCCACACCUUUUUCGUUGAACACUCGGAAUGUUAACCGUUAUUGGUGGAUCUCGCACUUAGCACCACCACUGAAUCGGGGAAUCAGCACUUAGCAACCCCUCGGGGGAAUCAGCACAUAGCAACCCCCUUUCAUUUCAAAUAUGGAUAUCGCACUUAGCACCACCAAUCGGGGAAUCAAUAGCAACCCCNNNNNNNNNNNNNNNNNNNNNNNNNNNNNNNNNNNNNNNNNNNNNNNNNNNNNNNNNNNNNNNNNNNNNNNNNNNNNNNNNNNNNNNNNNNNNNNNNNNNNNNNNNNNNNNNNNNNNNNNNNNNNNNNNNNNNNNNNNNNNNNNNNNNNNNNNNNNNNNNNNNNNNNNNNNNNNNNNNNNNNNNNNNNNNNNNNNNNNNNNNNNNNNNNNNNNNNNNNNNNNNNNNNNNNNNNNNNNNNNNNNNNNNNNNNNNNNNNNNNNNNNNNNNNNNNNNNNNNNNNNNNNNNNNNNNNNNNNNNNNNNNNNNNNNNNNNNNNNNNNNNNNNNNNNNNNNNNNNNNNNNNNNNNNNNNNNNNNNNNNNNNNNNNNNNNNNNNNNNNNNNNNNNNNNNNNNNNNNNNNNNNNNNNNNNNNNNNNNNNNNNNNNNNNNNNNNNNNNNNNNNNNNNNNNNNNNNNNNNNNNNNNNNNNNNNNNNNNNNNNNNNNNNNNNNNNNNNNNNNUAAUUGGUGCAACGCCUGCCCUUUCUUAGUGACGCUCCACUUCUCUUCUUCUAAUCAUAGUAGGGUGAUCCCUAUGCCUAGCAAUUGAUGAAGCUGCAACUUCGUGUCUAACUCUACGUUCAUCGUUUCUAGAUUACCUCGCUUUAUCAUUAACUCUCAAAUAAUUUAGGCAUUAUAUUGUAUCAUUUCUUGUUAUUGGUUGUAUUUCUUCACUAAGAGCCUAGACUAUUCUUGGAGCUCAAUGUAUUGGUUGCAUUUGACUUUCAUGCAAAAUUUAUAAUUCAACUGACUCCCCCCCCCUACAAAAAAAAAUCUAGCUGAGCCACUGUUUGCAUGGUUGGGUUCUCAUUUUCUCAAUGUUGCAAUUGUUGGUUGCCUCUAACAGGGUACUUUUGAUAGUGUACCUAAGUGGUUGCUCUUGCUGAUGUUGCUAGUAGUAAUAAUCUCCUUGUCCCCCUAGUUAUCCAUACCAGUUGGAGCCAAUGAGUUCUUGAUAUUCCUCUCCUUGCUUAUAAUAUUGCUAAUGAUUUAACCGUACUAGUAUUGACCUCCUUGGUCAUAUUGAUUAUCUCCAUAUUCACACUAAUUACCCUGCUCAUAGCUGACCUCAUUAAAAACACUUUUGGGAUAUUUUGAGAUGGUUAAGUCGUAGUUUUUCAUUUAAUUUCCCAUGGCAGAUGUUUUCACGAGGAUGAUGGCUCACGUUGUAAAUAGUGCGAAGAGCAACUAAAAUGGUAAUGGAUCACACUUUAAAUGGUGCGAAAAGCUAUUAAAGAUGGUGAUUUAUAUGAGCCAGUAGUGUGUUUAAGCAAAGUGUUGGCUAUAUAAAUUUUCUUGUCCUUUUCCUUUCUUAAGUGAACGAGAACCAAGAGUGAAUCUGACGUGCGACGAUACUUUACUCGUAGUGGCAUAGGAAAUUCAUGCAGAAUAGAAUAGGAUGUACUCAGGCUUACGGCAUAACAUUUUAUAAAUGAAUAUACUAAUAUCACAUUUUUAAUGAAAUUAUUUAAGUCAAAACAAAAUAUAUUGUUCAUAAUUUUUAAGCCUGCUUAAGAUCAGAAACUAAAAACUAGUCCAGGGAAAGAAUCUUUAUCUUAAAAGAUUAGAUUUCCUACAGGUAUUCAAAACAUGCAGGGAAUUCAUUCUUAUCUGUCAUAACUUCAUUACUGACUCCAAUGGAAAAUCAAAAUCAAUAAAAGAUUAACUUCCAAGAGUCCACAUGUAAAUUACGAUCAAAAUCCAUUCUGGAACUAAUGUGCAACAACCAUAACAGGGCAAAACAAUCUUCAAUCUAAACCAAAAAUUGUUUAAAAAAGAAACUCCAAGCAUAUUCGAGGAGCAGCAACAGUGAGCAACAGAUACGAAGCGAAGAAUCACAGCCUUCUUCCACGUCUGCCUCCCUUUCUACGGGUACUGUCAGUGGGAAUGGGGGGGGGGUAACAUCCUCUAAGGUGAAGAGGGUACAUGUAAGCUUACAAGAGUUGAAAUUAUGGGACCCAAUGAAUUGUGGAGAAAUGAAAGGGUGAAAAAAUCUUACCUAUGCGUCCAAUUUUUUCAUGCCAAGACACGAGCAAGGGCUCUAAGUGCUGACUGUGCACCAGGACCUGGUGUCUUGGUCUUAUUCCCC
RNAcentral lists this long non-coding RNA (14886 nucleotides) under Gossypium barbadense (sea-island cotton). RNAcentral describes it as "long non-coding RNA (GBAR_LNC003216)". Lineage: Eukaryota; Viridiplantae; Streptophyta; Magnoliopsida; Malvales; Malvaceae. The record is from RNAcentral.